GAUAACAUAUCAUAUGUACAGAUGUUCGAAGACGUCUUUCAGUCCUCCUACGCAACGGGAUAGAAUGAGGAUGUCCGGGAAAUCACAAUUGUCCCUGUGACUAGUAAAGAUACGAAAGAGACAGGCACGUGGAAGCCAGGACGCAUGCGUGUCGUGUUGCUCCUGCUGGACUCCGUACGACAAGUCAGUCUGCAUCUGGACUCCGGCUCGCGUAGGUUUUGUACCAGUGCGUGUACGUGACGAAAAUUAAACGGGAAUUAAACAAAAAUAAUCACGAGAAUAAUAAAUAUGACAAUAAUCACUGCCAUCCUUGUCCCGUGGACCGCAUGGAUCUUCGUUACAUUGGUGCACUCAUCCGAAGAGAUACCAAUCCGGUGAUUCGAUGCGGAAACUCGUUUGUCGAACGGAAGAUUGAGGAAACAGAGAUGCCUCCGUUCCGACGAGGUGCGAAGAAGAUCGGGGGACAUUCAGACGUAAAGGGGUAGCGCUCGAGGUGGACGAGCAAAGGAGUGCGCGCGCUCGAUUAAUCUCGCAAUCUGGAUGGAGUGGCUAUGAUAGACUCCCAUGAAUAACUCAUGAGCAGCGGGUACCUGCUUCCCAUAGGGACAUUCGCGUAUAAUUCAGCCACUUCAUUUGUCCUCAUUACUAUGCCCGAUCGUUACAUAGAGCACGAUUUACGGGGCUUCGUGCGCUCGUCCCUCCCACUCUGGGCUUUUCCCUCCUUUCGGUACACGAGGCACCUGUAUGGCUCGUCUCUGGACGAGCUUUCGCCCGGAAUCCUUUUCACGUGCACAGAUGAAAAUGCAGCCACGCUUGCCGCGUAUCUUGACAAGAGGACGCCGCACAGUAUGGAUUUGCUUUUAUGUGUCUUGCGUGCAAACUAGAUGCGCGAUACGUUAUAAAUAAAAUGAACCGUAACAUCUU
Long non-coding RNA from Pogonomyrmex barbatus (red harvester ant), 924 nucleotides. The record is from RefSeq and is a predicted model, not a curated record. NCBI's taxonomy places the organism in Eukaryota, Metazoa, Arthropoda, Insecta, Hymenoptera, Formicidae.